This 497-nucleotide ribosomal RNA is filed under the name uncultured bacterium. RNAcentral describes it as "partial 16S ribosomal RNA". It matches the Rfam family "Bacterial small subunit ribosomal RNA", at positions 28 to 507 of the family's 1533-position model. The record is from RNAcentral.
GAUGAACGCUGGCGGCGUGCCUAAUACAUGCAAGUCGAGCGAACAGACGAUGAGCUUGCUCCUCUGACGUGAGCGGCGGACGUGUGAGUAACACGUGGAUACCCUCCCUAUAAGACUGGGAUAACUUCGGGAAACCGGAGCAAAUACCGGAUAAUCUCUUGAACCACAUGGGUCAAUAGUGAAAGUCGGUUUUUCUGUCACGAAUAGAUGGAUCUCCGCCGCAUGAGCUAGUUGGUAAGGUAACGGCUUACCAAGGCAAGGAUGCGUGGCCGACCGGUCCGAGUGGUCGCCGACCCUGGAACUGAGACACGGACAAGACUCCUACGAGAGGCAGCAGUAGGGAAUGUGAGGCAAUGGGGGAAAGCUUGACGCAACAACCCCGCGUGAGUGAUGAAGGUCUUCGGAUCGGAAAACUCUGUUAUUAGGGAAGAACAAAUGUGGAAGUAAACAUGCACGUCUUGACGGUACCUAAUCAGAAAGCCACGGCUAACUACGUG